CAUUUUUUCAAACUGUGCAUGGUAAAUAUAUAUUACAUAUGUGCACUAUAUUUAAAGACAAAUCUUAGCACAUAAAAACAGAGAAUCACAUUAAGUCUAAAAAAUAUUAAAUUUAUUGGUUUACUAGGCAGUACCCUACAUUUAUUUCCAAUUUAAACAACUUGGGGGUCAUAAAGCCCUGCUAAUCUGAAAAAUCCUCCUUGUUUUAUAGUCAUUUCCAUUCUACAAACAUCUAUGGAUCUAACAGAUGCAAUGACACAUCGUUCAUUACAUUUGCUCAUGUUUUUCCCAUCUGCUAUAUCUAUGCAUCACGGUGAUCAGCUAAAAUGCAUCUAACUCUGAUCUCCAAACUGCUUUGUUUGUUUUUUUUUGCUGAAACCAAAGGAAACCUAUCAGACAUGUCAAAUGAGAAAGCUCAGACCGCUGAUACUCCAUCAGCAGUCAAAUAAUCACUGUCAGAAUCAAACAGCCUUGCGUUGACCCCUCAAACCGACGUGCCAGUCUGUUGAGUGAAGCCAGAGCACAGUUUUGAGGGCACGGCCCACAAUCACAGUGAGAUAAAGAGCAAACAAUGUGUGCGCGAGUCACACAGGAACACACUCUCACUCGGUGACUCACACACUCGGUGAGUCACUGCCGCCCACCCGCUCACACACAAUUACACACUUCAGCUCGGAGAGUGGGAACGUGGGCCUGGGAGAAGAAACAACUCUUUCUCUGUGCGUGUGGGCGGGGUAACUUUCGUUUUGGGGAUGUUCCCUGUGGAAAACAUGUUACAUUUCUUUUUGACAAUUACUGUUGACGAUGGAUGGUCGCUAGGAAACCGCUUAAUCCGGCUAAAUAUAGAUCAGCACCUGGAUAUUGUAGUUAUAAACAUCUAAAGGUCACCGUCUAUACCAGCCGUUCUCAGGACCCAUGUUUCACACACUGAACAAGCAGAACAAAAUAUGGACAUAUUGGCCAAAUAUUUGUUGAGCAUAGUCAUAUUACCAAGCAACUGUAAUAUGAAAUUGCACUAUAAUGGUUUGAUUUCAGCUCGACUGGAUUUAUGGCCAGUGAACAUCGAGAACAGAAGAUAUAUGAAGUGUUUUCUCAUAAAUAACAUAACACGAAGAAAGAAACUCAUGCAGUUUUGGAACAACUUGAGGGAAGAAAUCUGAAGUAAAGUACCGCUGCAGACCACGUCUCCAGAACAAGCCACAUGAUUUGAGGUGUCAUUGAUGUCCAAAGCAUAAAUGAUGCAAAUACAAGCAGACAGAACAGACGAAAUGUGCCUGAUGAAGACCUGAAGGCCAAACCAUGUUUUGUACAUGUUUUAAUAAAGUUUUCUUGGAGAAGUUACAGUCAUUUUUUUUGCUUGUAUUUGCCCCAUGUUUGUCCUGCACCUGAGCCCUUAUUGUGUUUAUGGGGUGUGCACACCUUUUUUGUUUUUUUUGACAAAGCAUAAACAUUGCAGGACAAGUUACAUUCCAAAGUUUAACACCUUUUGGGUUAAAAUAAAUAAAUAAGUAUAUAUAAAUAUAUUUUUAUAAAAUAUAAAUGACAUAAUUAUAAAUUAUAUAAAUAUAAUAAUUAUUAUUAUUAUAAUAAUUAUAUAAAUAUAAUUAUUAUUAUUAUAAUAAUAUACAUGUAUAUAAUAAAUUAAAUUUUAACCCAAAAUUCUGUUAACCCUAAAUUUAUGUUUGUUCAUAAUAGGCCUGAAAACGAUCAUUGUUUUAAACGAUUAAAAAUUACACAGAUACAGUCACAAGGGACUACACUACUAUCUGUGAUGUCAUUUCCUGUUUUAUGG
Molecule: long non-coding RNA, 1792 nt
Organism: Onychostoma macrolepis
Lineage: Eukaryota; Metazoa; Chordata; Actinopteri; Cypriniformes; Cyprinidae
Exons: 3
Source: RefSeq, a predicted model, not a curated record